UACGAAGGGGGCUAGCGUUGUUCGGAAUUACUGGGCGUAAAGCGCGCGCAGGCGGCCAAUCAAGUCAGGGGUGAAAGCCCGGAGCUCAACUCCGGAAUUGCCUUUGAAACUGAUCGGCUUGAGUACGGGAGAGGUGAGUGGAAUUCCCAGUGUAGAGGUGAAAUUCGUAGAUAUUGGGAAGAACACCGGUGGCGAAGGCGGCUCACUGGCCCGUUUCUGACGCUCAGGCGCGACAGCGUGGGGAUCAAAC
Molecule: ribosomal RNA, 250 nt
Filed under: uncultured bacterium
Lineage: Bacteria
Description: partial 16S ribosomal RNA
Rfam family: Bacterial small subunit ribosomal RNA
Source: RNAcentral